Molecule: ribosomal RNA, 551 nt
Filed under: uncultured bacterium
Lineage: Bacteria
Description: bacterial SSU rRNA
Rfam family: Bacterial small subunit ribosomal RNA
Source: RNAcentral
UAGGGAAUCUUCGGCAAUGGACGGAAGUCUGACCGAGCAACGCCGCGUGAGUGAAGAAGGUUUUCGGAUCGUAAAGCUCUGUUGUAAGAGAAGAACGAGUGUGAGAGUGGAAAGUUCACACUGUGACGGUAUCUUACCAGAAAGGGACGGCUAACUACGUGCCAGCAGCCGCGGUAAUACGUAGGUCCCGAGCGUUGUCCGGAUUUAUUGGGCGUAAAGCGAGCGCAGGCGGUUAGAUAAGUCUGAAGUUAAAGGCUGUGGCUUAACCAUAGUACGCUUUGGAAACUGUUUAACUUGAGUGCAAGAGGGGAGAGUGGAAUUCCAUGUGUAGCGGUGAAAUGCGUAGAUAUAUGGAGGAACACCAGUGGCGAAAGCGGCUCUCUGGCUUGUAACUGACGCUGAGGCUCGAAAGCGUGGGGAGCAAACAGGAUUAGAUACCCUGGUAGUCCACGCCGUAAACGAUGAGUGCUAGGUGUUAGACCCUUUCCGGGGUUUAGUGCCGCAGCUAACGCAUUAAGCACUCCGCCUGGGGAGUACGACCGCAAGGUUGA